AUUCCAGCUCCAAUAGCGAAUACUAAUUCUGCUGCAGUUAAAAAGCUCGUAGUUGAACUUCUGGUAGGACAGAUCCGGCCUUUGGAUGAAUGUCCAUUGUAUGCUGUGUGUCUUGUCUGGCCAUCCUUUAUGUCUUUUAGGCGUAAUCUUUCACUGUAAAAAAAUUAGGGUGUUUCAAGCAAAAGUUAUUUGGAAUAUAUUAGUAUGGGAUGAUAAGAUAGGCUCUUGAGUGCUACUUUGUUGGUUUCGAACACCGGAGUAAUGAUUAACAGGGACAGUCAGGGGCACUCGUAUUCCGCCGAGAGAGGUGAAAUUCUCAGACCAGCGGAAGACGAACCACUGCGAAAGCAUUUGUCAGGGAUGUUUUCAUCA
This 372-nucleotide ribosomal RNA is filed under the name Thraustochytriidae sp. RNAcentral's name for it is "Thraustochytriaceae sp. partial small subunit ribosomal RNA". It matches the Rfam family "Eukaryotic small subunit ribosomal RNA", at positions 582 to 975 of the family's 1831-position model. The record is from RNAcentral. Lineage: Eukaryota; Bigyra; Thraustochytrida; Thraustochytriidae.